GGUUAAGCGACUAAGCGUACACGGUGGAUGCCCUGGCAGUCAGAGGCGAUGAAGGACGUGCUAAUCUGCGAUAAGCGUCGGUAAGGUGAUAUGAACCGUUAUAACCGGCGAUUUCCGAAUGGGGAAACCCAGUGUGAUUCGUCACACUAUCAUUAACUGAAUCCAUAGGUUAAUGAGGCGAACCGGGGGAACUGAAACAUCUAAGUACCCCGAGGAAAAGAAAUCAACCGAGAUUCCCCCAGUAGCGGCGAGCGAACGGGGAGGAGCCCAGAGCCUGAAUCAGUGUGUGUGUUAGUGGAAGCGUCUGGAAAGGCGCGCGAUACAGGGUGACAGCCCCGUACACAAAAAUGCACAUAUUGUGAGCUCGAUGAGUAGGGCGGGACACGUGGUAUCCUGUCUGAAUAUGGGGGGACCAUCCUCCAAGGCUAAAUACUCCUGACUGACCGAUAGUGAACCAGUACCGUGAGGGAAAGGCGAAAAGAACCCCGGCGAGGGGAGUGAAAAAGAACCUGAAACCGUGUACGUACAAGCAGUGGGAGCACGCUUAGGCGUGUGACUGCGUACCUUUUGUAUAAUGGGUCAGCGACUUAUAUUCUGUAGCAAGGUUAACCGAAUAGGGGAGCCGAAGGGAAACCGAGUCUUAACUGGGCGUUAAGUUGCAGGGUAUAGACCCGAAACCCGGUGAUCUAGCCAUGGGCAGGUUGAAGGUUGGGUAACACUAACUGGAGGACCGAACCGACUAAUGUUGAAAAAUUAGCGGAUGACUUGUGGCUGGGGGUGAAAGGCCAAUCAAACCGGGAGAUAGCUGGUUCUCCCCGAAAGCUAUUUAGGUAGCGCCUCGUGAAUUCAUCUCCGGGGGUAGAGCACUGUUUCGGCAAGGGGGUCAUCCCGACUUACCAACCCGAUGCAAACUGCGAAUACCGGAGAAUGUUAUCACGGGAGACACACGGCGGGUGCUAACGUCCGUCGUGAAGAGGGAAACAACCCAGACCGCCAGCUAAGGUCCCAAAGUCAUGGUUAAGUGGGAAACGAUGUGGGAAGGCCCAGACAGCCAGGAUGUUGGCUUAGAAGCAGCCAUCAUUUAAAGAAAGCGUAAUAGCUCACUGGUCGAGUCGGCCUGCGCGGAAGAUGUAACGGGGCUAAACCAUGCACCGAAGCUGCGGCAGCGACGCUUAUGCGUUGUUGGGUAGGGGAGCGUUCUGUAAGCCUGCGAAGGUGUGCUGUGAGGCAUGCUGGAGGUAUCAGAAGUGCGAAUGCUGACAUAAGUAACGAUAAAGCGGGUGAAAAGCCCGCUCGCCGGAAGACCAAGGGUUCCUGUCCAACGUUAAUCGGGGCAGGGUGAGUCGACCCCUAAGGCGAGGCCGAAAGGCGUAGUCGAUGGGAAACAGGUUAAUAUUCCUGUACUUGGUGUUACUGCGAAGGGGGGACGGAGAAGGCUAUGUUGGCCGGGCGACGGUUGUCCCGGUUUAAGCGUGUAGGCUGGUUUUCCAGGCAAAUCCGGAAAAUCAAGGCUGAGGCGUGAUGACGAGGCACUACGGUGCUGAAGCAACAAAUGCCCUGCUUCCAGGAAAAGCCUCUAAGCAUCAGGUAACAUCAAAUCGUACCCCAAACCGACACAGGUGGUCAGGUAGAGAAUACCAAGGCGCUUGAGAGAACUCGGGUGAAGGAACUAGGCAAAAUGGUGCCGUAACUUCGGGAGAAGGCACGCUGAUAUGUAGGUGAGGUCCCUCGCGGAUGGAGCUGAAAUCAGUCGAAGAUACCAGCUGGCUGCAACUGUUUAUUAAAAACACAGCACUGUGCAAACACGAAAGUGGACGUAUACGGUGUGACGCCUGCCCGGUGCCGGAAGGUUAAUUGAUGGGGUCAGCGCAAGCGAAGCUCUUGAUCGAAGCCCCGGUAAACGGCGGCCGUAACUAUAACGGUCCUAAGGUAGCGAAAUUCCUUGUCGGGUAAGUUCCGACCUGCACGAAUGGCGUAAUGAUGGCCAGGCUGUCUCCACCCGAGACUCAGUGAAAUUGAACUCGCUGUGAAGAUGCAGUGUACCCGCGGCAAGACGGAAAGACCCCGUGAACCUUUACUAUAGCUUGACACUGAACAUUGAGCCUUGAUGUGUAGGAUAGGUGGGAGGCUUUGAAGUGUGGACGCCAGUCUGCAUGGAGCCGACCUUGAAAUACCACCCUUUAAUGUUUGAUGUUCUAACGUUGACCCGUGAUCCGGGUUGCGGACAGUGUCUGGUGGGUAGUUUGACUGGGGCGGUCUCCUCCUAAAGAGUAACGGAGGAGCACGAAGGUUGGCUAAUCCUGGUCGGACAUCAGGAGGUUAGUGCAAUGGCAUAAGCCAGCUUGACUGCGAGCGUGACGGCGCGAGCAGGUGCGAAAGCAGGUCAUAGUGAUCCGGUGGUUCUGAAUGGAAGGGCCAUCGCUCAACGGAUAAAAGGUACUCCGGGGAUAACAGGCUGAUACCGCCCAAGAGUUCAUAUCGACGGCGGUGUUUGGCACCUCGAUGUCGGCUCAUCACAUCCUGGGGCUGAAGUAGGUCCCAAGGGUAUGGCUGUUCGCCAUUUAAAGUGGUACGCGAGCUGGGUUUAGAACGUCGUGAGACAGUUCGGUCCCUAUCUGCCGUGGGCGCUGGAGAACUGAGGGGGGCUGCUCCUAGUACGAGAGGACCGGAGUGGACGCAUCACUGGUGUUCGGGUUGUCAUGCCAAUGGCACUGCCCGGUAGCUAAAUGCGGAAGAGAUAAGUGCUGAAAGCAUCUAAGCACGAAACUUGCCCCGAGAUGAGUUCUCCCUGACCCUUUAAGGGUCCUGAAGGAACGUUGAAGACGACGACGUUGAUAGGCCGGGUGUGUAAGCGCAGCGAUGCGUUGAGCUAACCGGUACUAAUGAACCGUGAGGCUUAACCUU
Molecule: ribosomal RNA, 2904 nt
Filed under: Escherichia coli
Lineage: Bacteria; Pseudomonadati; Pseudomonadota; Gammaproteobacteria; Enterobacterales; Enterobacteriaceae
Description: 23S ribosomal RNA
Rfam family: Bacterial large subunit ribosomal RNA
Source: RNAcentral